UCCGUAGGGUGCGAGCGUUAAUCGGAAUUACUGGGCGUAAAGCGUGCGCAGGCGGUUAUUUAAGUCAGGUGUGAAAGCCCUGGGCUUAACCUAGGAAUUGCGCUUGAGACUGGAUAGCUUGGAGUGCGGCAGAGGGAGGUGGAAUUCCACGUGUAGCAGUGAAAUGCGUAGAGAUGUGGAGGAACACCGAUGGCGAAGGCAGCCUCCUGGGCCAGCACUGACGCUCAUGCACGAAAGCGUGGGGAGCAAACAGG
This 254-nucleotide ribosomal RNA is filed under the name uncultured bacterium. Its description in RNAcentral is "partial 16S ribosomal RNA". It matches the Rfam family "Bacterial small subunit ribosomal RNA", at positions 524 to 776 of the family's 1533-position model. The record is from RNAcentral.